UACGAAGGGGGCGAGCGUUGUUCGGAUUUACUGGGCGUAAAGCGCACGUAGGCGGUUUUGUAAGUCAGGGGUGAAAUCCCGGGGCUCAACCUCGGAACUGCCUUUGAUACUGCAAAUCUCGAGUCCGAUAGAGGUGGGUGGAAUUCCUAGUGUAGAGGUGAAAUUCGUAGAUAUUAGGAAGAACACCGGUGGCGAAGGCGGCCCACUGGAUCGGUACUGACGCUGAGGUGCGAAAGCGUGGGGAGCAAACAGG
Molecule: ribosomal RNA, 253 nt
Filed under: uncultured bacterium
Lineage: Bacteria
Description: partial 16S ribosomal RNA
Rfam family: Bacterial small subunit ribosomal RNA
Source: RNAcentral